This 89-nucleotide transfer RNA is filed under the name Cutibacterium acnes KPA171202. Its description in RNAcentral is "tRNA-Leu". It matches the Rfam family "tRNA". From Rfam's summary of the family: Transfer RNA (tRNA) molecules are approximately 80 nucleotides in length. Their secondary structure includes four short double-helical elements and three loops (D, anti-codon, and T loops). Lineage: Bacteria; Bacillati; Actinomycetota; Actinomycetes; Propionibacteriales; Propionibacteriaceae. The record is from RNAcentral.
GCCCGAGUGGCGGAAUGGUAGACGCGGCGCACUCAAAAUGCGCUGUCCUUGCGGGCGUAGGGGUUCGACUCCCCUCUCGGGCACCGUCG